GGUUCUUUUUUUUUCGGAGCUGGGGACCGAACCCAGGGCCUUGCGCUUCCUAGGUAAGCGCUCUACCACUGAGCUAAAUCCCCAGCCCCAGAAAGGAUAUUCUUAACAUAUCUAAUAUCUUUCUCCUUAGAAUCAGAGAGAAAGAAGGGGAAGAAAUACAAAAGAAGAAAGUGACCAGGAUAGGUUUUUGUUGGCUUGUAUUUUGUGUCUGUGUAUUUGCAUUUCCACACACAUUGAUUGCAUGCCAGGAGACAAUCAAACAUGCAUUGUGUGUUGCAAGAAACUGGUCCAGGAUUUAAACUUCUAUGGACACCAUCUAGAUGUGGAUAGGCAGAAAUUGGCCAAGCAGAGAAAGGAGAUGGAUACAAAGUACACUUCCUGAGUAAUUUUACUUUAGUACCAAAUGUUAGCCAUGACAAUCUUUAUUUAAAUUAUUCUAAGCCAGGCACGGCAGUGUCCACCUGUGAUCCCUGCACUUGGGAGGUGCAGGAGCAGUGUCAGAUGUUCAAGGUCAUCCUCUGAGGCAUAGCAAAUUCAAGACCAGCCUGGGAUACACAAAACUUUGUCUUACUUUUUAAAAUAAAUAUAUAAAUAAAAUAAUUUGUAUCCCUGCUACUUUCUUUUUAAGACCAAAACUAUGUACAUGAAGAAGCAUAUUUAUAUUUUAAGUAAGCCUUUAUCUUAAUCUUGCUUCAUGUUUUUCAGAAAACAAGCAGCAUUUUUUCAUUGCACAUAAAAAUGUAAAAUUCUUGCAUGCCACCAGUCCUAAUGGCUUACGAGUUCUAUGCCUGUCAAGUGUGACCUCAUGUGUAUUGUUACCUAUAUCCUGUUGAAGAGACUAAGGGACAUAAUAUUCUUGUAAACUUGUAAACUUUGUUGGUAACAUUUGUUUACUUGAGCAGAUACUGAAAAGCCACAAGGCUUUAUUUUUCGUUUGAUAUUUUUUGAUCAAAGCUAGAUGAUUGGUUAAUUCACUAGGGACCUAAAGACUAACUUGCCUUUUAAAUGUGAAGUUGAACAUCUUAAAAAGUGCAAGACAAAAAAAAAUGUAUAGAGUGUAAACUAAUUUUAUCCUCAUAAUAAGGAACCCUAUUGGCCCAAAAGGGUGUAAUUUUGGGCCCUUUGGAAUUAGCCACCCAGAACUAAUGUUAAGCUAAAUAUAAACUGUUUUAAUUAACCAAUAUCUUUCUGCUUUCAAAGAUGUCAUGUGUUCACUUGUGUCUGGAAUGUUAGCUGUAAAUUAAAAUGUAAAAAGAGGUGGGGAGGGGGGAUGUCAAUAAACUUAACUUUAAAUGU
RNAcentral lists this long non-coding RNA (1296 nucleotides) under Rattus norvegicus (Norway rat). RNAcentral's name for it is "long non-coding RNA NONRATT028785". Lineage: Eukaryota; Metazoa; Chordata; Mammalia; Rodentia; Muridae. The record is from RNAcentral.